RNAcentral lists this long non-coding RNA (1774 nucleotides) under Brassica napus (rape). RNAcentral's name for it is "long non-coding RNA (BNAP_LNC008504)". The record is from RNAcentral. Lineage: Eukaryota; Viridiplantae; Streptophyta; Magnoliopsida; Brassicales; Brassicaceae.
GCUGACGUUGGUCUCGUAGGGAUGCCAAACGCUGGGAAAAGCACUCUCCUCGGCGCGCUCUCCCGCGCUAAGCCACGUGUAGGCCACUACGCGUUCACAACGCUACGUCCCAACCUAGGCAACGUCAGCUACGAUGACUUCUCAAUGACGGUAGCCGACAUCCCAGGGCUUAUCAAAGGAGCUCAUCAGAACCGAGGGCUAGGCCACAACUUUCUCCGCCAUAUAGAAAGGACCAAAGUGUUGGCUUAUGUCGUGGACUUGGCGUCGGGGCUAGAUGGGAACAGAGGAGUGGCGCCGUGGCAGCAGCUUAGAGAUUUGGUGGUGGAGCUCGAGUUUCAUGAGGAAGGGCUGUCUGAUAGGUCGUCUUUGAUCGUGGCGAACAAGAUAGAUGAGGAAGGGGCGGAGGAGAGGUUGGUGGAGCUUGAGAGGAGAGUGAAAGGUGUGAGGAUUUUUGCGGUUUGUGCUGUUCUUGAAGAAGGUGUGGCUGAGCUGAAAGAUGGUUUGAAAAUGCUUGUAAACGGUGGUGGUGAGGGAUCAGAGAGAUUGAAAUUGGAGAAUAUAUGUGUUGACUAGUUUAGUUUUUUGUAUCUCUUUGAGUUAUUUCAGUAGAUAGACCAACUGAAAAUUUCGUGUUACAGUGGCUAUACUGAUGUGUUGUGUGAUGAAACAUUUUCACGGUUUCUAUUGUGAUAUUUUUAAAUUCUUGAUCGUUUUAUGUUAUAGUGGCUUAGGUUACUAAUUCAAGAACGUAGUCGUUGCAUUAGGUUGUUUCUUACUUGUAACAUAAGUUUCUCGGAGGCACAAGAUAUCAUUAGGGGUUUAGUACUACGUGGAAGAAAGGUAUACACAUGAUUUUAGAAUGCACACAUGCAGUUUGGGACUUCAGCGGUUUACAGCCUCAUGUUGUAAGUUUAUUAUGCAUCUCUUUCUUUUUCAUGUUAUUCUAGUAAAAUAUCUCAUGUCUUAACUGAUUAUAUAAAUGCAUUUUGUAGAAAGGUGGGAAGGCUGGGCAUGGAACUUCUAAGAACAGGAUUGGAAACAGAGGAGAAGACAAGGUCCUGCAAGUCCCCAUUGGGACAGUGAUUCAUCUUCAAGAAGGUGAGAUUCCAUCUCAGGUUCAAGCUGGCUCUCCCACAAGUCUGGAUCCAUGGGACCUUCCUGGAACACUAGUUGAUGAUCCUGCAUCAGAGGAGACCUCAGACGUUAAUCAAGAUUCUUCUGUUCAAGUUGAAGCUGAGGAAGAAAGUGUAGUAGACACACCAAUGGAAGAUGAUCUCGAAGACAUUGAUCAAGUAAAGUAUAACGUUGCGGAGCUAACAGAACAAGGCCAGAGAAUACUCAUCGCACGUGGCGGCGAAGGCGGUUUAGGCAGCGUUUGCGCUACACGUUACUUAAGAGGCACCAAGUUCGCUAAAACAGCUCCUUUGAGGACAAUGGAGGACGACGAUGAUGAAGAUGAUGAUAAUGGCCAACGCUCGAGUAUUAAGUGUGGUUCUCUUGGUACAGAAGCUGUCCUGAUACUAGAACUGAAGAGCAUCGCUGACGUUGGUCUCGUAGGGAUGCCAAACGCUGGGAAAAGCACUCUCCUCGGCGCGCUCUCCCGCGCUAAGCCACGUGUAGGCCACUACGCGUUCACAACGCUACGUCCCAACCUAGGCAACGUCAGCUACGAUGACUUCUCAAUGACGGUAGCCGACAUCCCAGGGCUUAUCAAAGGAGCUCAUCAGAACCGAGGGCUAGGCCACAACUUUCUCCGCCAUAUAGAAAGGACCAA